Molecule: ribosomal RNA, 465 nt
Filed under: Vreelandella stevensii
Lineage: Bacteria; Pseudomonadati; Pseudomonadota; Gammaproteobacteria; Oceanospirillales; Halomonadaceae
Description: partial 16S ribosomal RNA
Rfam family: Bacterial small subunit ribosomal RNA
Source: RNAcentral
CCUACGGGUGGCAGCAGUGGGGAAUAUUGGACAAUGGGCGAAAGCCUGAUCCAGCCAUGCCGCGUGUGUGAAGAAGGCCUUCGGGUUGUAAAGCACUUUCAGUGGGGUAGAAAGCCUUGGGGCUAAUACCCUCGAGGAAGGACAUCACCCACAGAAGAAGCACCGGCUAACUCCGUGCCAGCAGCCGCGGUAAUACGGAGGGUGCGAGCGUUAAUCGGAAUUACUGGGCGUAAAGCGCGCGUAGGCGGUCUGAUAAGCCGGUUGUGAAAGCCCCGGGCUCAACCUGGGAACGGCAUCCGGAACUGUCAGGCUAGAGUGCAGGAGAGGAAGGUAGAAUUCCCGGUGUAGCGGUGAAAUGCGUAGAGAUCGGGAGGAAUACCAGUGGCGAAGGCGGCCUUCUGGACUGACACUGACGCUGAGGUGCGAAAGCGUGGGUAGCAAACAGGAUUAGAUACCCCAGUAGUC